Molecule: long non-coding RNA, 205 nt
Filed under: Prunus persica (peach)
Lineage: Eukaryota; Viridiplantae; Streptophyta; Magnoliopsida; Rosales; Rosaceae
Description: long non-coding RNA (PPER_LNC003116)
Source: RNAcentral
ACGAACCCUUGUUGUGGUGGUUGUUAUGGUGGUGUUGAUCUUAGCGACAGCGGGGACGACUACUGGUUAAAGAUGACCUUAUUUGAUAGGGUUAGGGUUUGAGGUGAUAUUGGGCUGGUUCAGUUUGUUUUGUUUUUAAUUAUGGGUGGUCAUGAUCCGGUUUGAUCAAAUUUUCCCUUCGAAUUGGAAUCAAAAUCAAAACUUA